UUAGAAUGCAGUCGCACGGGAUCAGAUAUGUAGUAAUACUUAUUUGGUUUAGUGGCGCACGGGUGAGUAACACGUGAAUUACAUGCCCUAUAGUGGGGAAUAGCCCAGGGAAACUUGGAUUAAUACCCCAUAGUCUCGCAAGAGUAAAGGUGGCCGCAAGGCUGUCGCUAUAGGAUUGGUUCGCGCCCUAUCAGCUUGUUGGUGAGGUAACGGCUCACCAAGGCAAUGACGGGUACCUGGUCUGAGAGGACGAUCAGGCACACUGGAACUGAGACACGGUCCAGACACCUACGGGUGGCAGCAGUCGAGAAUAAUUCACAAUGGGGGCAACCCUGAUGGUGCAACGCCGCGUGGAGGAUGACGGUCUUCGGAUUGUAAACUCCUGUCAUCUGGGAGAAAGACCUGACGGUAAAUAGCCGGCAGGGUUGAUAGUACCAGAAGAGGAAGGGACGGCUAACUUCGUGCCAGCAGCCGCGGUAAUACGAAGGUCCCGAGCGUUGUUCGGAAUCACUGGGCGUAAAGGGAGCGUAGGCGGUUUGGUAAGUCAGAUGUGAAAUCCCGGGGCUCAACCCCGGAACUGCAUCCGAUACUGCCAGACUUGAGUAAUGGAGAGGUAGCUGGAAUUAUCGGUGUAGCAGUGAAAUGCGUAGAUAUCGAUAGGAACACUCGUGGCGAAAGCGAGCUACUGGACAUUUACUGACGCUGAGGCUCGAAGGCUAGGGAGCGAAAGGGAUUAGAUACCCCUGUAGUCCUAGCAGUAAACGGUGCACGCUUGUGUGAGGGAAAUCGACCCCCCCUUUGUGCCGGAGCUACGCGUUAGCGUGCGCUGGGAGUACGUCGCAGACUAAC
Molecule: ribosomal RNA, 849 nt
Filed under: uncultured bacterium
Lineage: Bacteria
Description: bacterial SSU rRNA
Rfam family: Bacterial small subunit ribosomal RNA
Source: RNAcentral